This 403-nucleotide ribosomal RNA is filed under the name uncultured bacterium. Its description in RNAcentral is "partial 16S ribosomal RNA". It matches the Rfam family "Bacterial small subunit ribosomal RNA", at positions 28 to 526 of the family's 1533-position model. The record is from RNAcentral.
GACGAACGCUGGCGGCGUGCCUAAUACAUGCAAGUCGAACGCAGUGGGGACGGGUGAGUAACACGUGGGUAACCUCCCAUCAGAGGGGAUAACACUUGGAAAAAGGUGCUAAACCGACACUGAUGGAUGGACCCGCGGUGCAUUAGCUAGUGGGUGAGGUAACGGCUCACCAAGGCCACUAUGCAUAGACGACCGUGUAGGGGGAUAGGCCACACGGGGGCUGAGACACGGCCCAGACUCCUACGGGAGGGAGCAGGAGGGAAUCUUCGGAAAUGGACGAAAGUCGGACAGGGCAACGCCGCGUGAGUGAAGAAGGUUUUCGGAUCUUAAAACCCUGUUGUUAGAGAAGCGGUAUCUAACCAGAAAGCCACGGCUAACUACGUGCCAGCAGCCGCGGUAAUAC